This 504-nucleotide ribosomal RNA is filed under the name uncultured bacterium. Its description in RNAcentral is "bacterial SSU rRNA". It matches the Rfam family "Bacterial small subunit ribosomal RNA", at positions 30 to 526 of the family's 1533-position model. The record is from RNAcentral.
AUUGAACGCUGGCGGCAGGCUUAACACAUGCAAGUCGAGCGGAUGAAGGUAGCUUGCUACCGGAUUCAGCGGCGGACGGGUGAGUAAUGCUUAGGAAUCUGCCUAUUAGUGGGGGACAACGUUCCGAAAGGAGCGCUAAUACCGCAUACGUCCUACGGGAGAAAGCAGGGGACCUUCGGGCCUUGCGCUAAUAGAUGAGCCUAAGUCGGAUUAGCUAGUUGGUAGGGUAAAGGCCUACCAAGGCGACGAUCUGUAGCGGGUCUGAGAGGAUGAUCCGCCACACUGGGACUGAGACACGGCCCAGACUCCUACGGGAGGCAGCAGUGGGGAAUAUUGGACAAUGGGGGGAACCCUGAUCCAGCCAUGCCGCGUGUGUGAAGAAGGCCUUUUGGUUGUAAAGCACUUUAAGCGAGGAGGAGGCUACCUAGAUUAAUACUUUAGGAUAGUGGACGUUACUCGCAGAAUAAGCACCGGCUAACUCUGUGCCAGCAGCCGCCGUAAGAC